Quercus lobata is the source of this 426-nucleotide long non-coding RNA. RefSeq lists it as uncharacterized. The transcript has 2 exons. The record is from RefSeq and is a predicted model, not a curated record. NCBI's taxonomy places the organism in Eukaryota, Viridiplantae, Streptophyta, Magnoliopsida, Fagales, Fagaceae.
CUAAUGCCUCAUGAGUGAUAUGCACUCGAUCCCAUAAUAGCAGGUUACAGUAGAGUGGAAAAUGGAGUGCAAGAACAUGAAUGAAUGGUGUACAGCAGAGGAAAAAUAUUAUUUUGACACUAAUUCAGUGUCGACGCAGUUUUUGUGGUGGUCUGAAGCACUGGUUCCCCUAUCAAGGUUCCCAACAGGAUGUGAGACCCCAGUAAACACAAUCUUGGGGAUUCAAUGGUUAAUAAUGCAUGUAUGUAUGUAAAUCAAUCUUUAGAUUUUUCUUUUUCUCUUUGGGAAUGUUUUUUUCACCAUGACAUUUUGUCGUACACGUGGAGAUACCACUCAUCUAAUUAAGCUCUAGUUUUUAUCAAAGCUUGAAAGUGACUAGGUUAUGUGCACUCUGCAUUAUUAUGAUUGAUUUGUUAAAUUUUGAAA